Molecule: non-coding RNA, 27 nt
Filed under: Mus musculus (house mouse)
Lineage: Eukaryota; Metazoa; Chordata; Mammalia; Rodentia; Muridae
Source: RNAcentral
UAAACAAUCACAGUGAUUGAUUGGGUA